AAUCAACGCUGGCGGCGUGCCUCAGACAUGCAAGUCGAACGAUUAAAGCUCUCUUCGGAGAGUGCAUAGAGUGGCGCACGGGUGAGUAACACGUAAGUAAUCUACCUUCGAGUGGGGAAUAACGUCCGGAAACGGACGCUAAUACCGCAUAAUGCAGCGGCAUCGCAAGAUGACAGUUGUUAAAGGAGCAAUUCGCUUGAGGAGGAGCUUGCGGCAGAUUAGCUUGUUGGUAAGGUAACGGCUUACCAAGGCUACGAUCUGUAACCGGUCUAAGAGGACGGUCGGUCACACUGACACUGAAUAACGGGUCAGACUCCUACGGGAGGCAGCAGUGGGGAAUCUUGCGCAAUGGGCGAAAAGCCUGACGCAGCAACGCCGCGUGGAGGAUGAAGGCCCUUGGGUUGUAAACUCCUGUCGGCUGGGAAGAAAUCGUGCGGUGCUCAUACCACCGUGCGUUGACUGUACCAGCAAAGGAA
RNAcentral lists this ribosomal RNA (476 nucleotides) under uncultured bacterium. RNAcentral's name for it is "bacterial SSU rRNA". It matches the Rfam family "Bacterial small subunit ribosomal RNA", at positions 32 to 489 of the family's 1533-position model. The record is from RNAcentral.